GACGAAGGUGGCGAGCGUUGUUCGGAAUUACUGGGCGUAAAGGGCUCGUAGGCGGCCAACUAAGUCAGACGUGAAAUCCCUCGGCUUAACCGGGGAACUGCGUCUGAUACUGGAUGGCUUGAAUCCGGGAGAGGGAUGCGGAAUUCCAGGUGUAGCGGUGAAAUGCGUAGAUAUCUGGAGGAACACCGGUGGCGAAGGCGGCAUCCUGGACCGGCAUUGACGCUGAGGAGCGAAAGCCAGGGGAGCAAACGGG
RNAcentral lists this ribosomal RNA (253 nucleotides) under uncultured bacterium. Its description in RNAcentral is "partial 16S ribosomal RNA". It matches the Rfam family "Bacterial small subunit ribosomal RNA", at positions 524 to 776 of the family's 1533-position model. The record is from RNAcentral.